This 386-nucleotide ribosomal RNA is filed under the name uncultured bacterium. RNAcentral describes it as "bacterial SSU rRNA". It matches the Rfam family "Bacterial small subunit ribosomal RNA", at positions 355 to 734 of the family's 1533-position model. The record is from RNAcentral.
UGGGGAAUCUUGCGCAAUGGGCGAAAGCCUGACGCAGCGACGCCGCGUGAGUGAUGAAGGCCUUCGGGUUGUAAAGCUCUGUGGGGAGAGAAGAAUAAGUGCGGGCUAAUACCCCGCAUGAUGACGGUAUCUCCUUAGCAAGCACCGGCUAACUCUGUGCCAGCAGCCGCGGUAAGACAGAGGGCGCAAACGUUGUUCGGAAUUACUGGGCGUAAAGCGAGUGUAGGCGGUUUGGUAAGUCGGAUGUGAAAGCCCCGGGCUCAACCCGGGAAUGCAUUCGAUACUGCCAAGCUAGAGUAUCGGAGAGGUUGGUGGAAUUCUCGGUGUAGAGGUGAAAUUCGUAGAUAUCGAGAGGAACACCGGUGGCCGAAGGCGGCCAACUGGAC